CCUACGGGAGGCUGCAGUGGGGAAUAUUGGACAAUGGGCGAAAGCCUGAUCCAGCCAUGCCGCGUGUGUGAAGAAGGCCUUCGGGUUGUAAAGCACUUUCAGUGAGGAAGAAAGCCUUGGGGCUAAUACCCUCGAGGAAGGACAUCACCCACAGAAGAAGCACCGGCUAACUCCGUGCCAGCAGCCGCGGUAAUACGGAGGGUGCGAGCGUUAAUCGGAAUUACUGGGCGUAAAGCGCGCGUAGGCGGUCUGAUAAGCCGGUUGUGAAAGCCCCGGGCUCAACCUGGGAACGGCAUCCGGAACUGUCAGGCUAGAGUGCAGGAGAGGAAGGUAGAAUUCCCGGUGUAGCGGUGAAAUGCGUAGAGAUCGGGAGGAAUACCAGUGGCGAAGGCGGCCUUCUGGACUGACACUGACGCUGAGGUGCGAAAGCGUGGAUAGCAAACAGGAUUAGAUACCCGGGUAGUC
RNAcentral lists this ribosomal RNA (465 nucleotides) under Vreelandella stevensii. Its description in RNAcentral is "partial 16S ribosomal RNA". It matches the Rfam family "Bacterial small subunit ribosomal RNA", at positions 338 to 795 of the family's 1533-position model. Lineage: Bacteria; Pseudomonadati; Pseudomonadota; Gammaproteobacteria; Oceanospirillales; Halomonadaceae. The record is from RNAcentral.